AUGAACGCUGGCGGCGUGCCUAAUACAUGCAAGUCGAACGCUGGAAAUCUAGCUUGCUAGAUUGAAGGAGUGGCGAACGGGUGAGUAAUACAUAAGCAACCUACCCACGAAGACUGGGAUAAUCUCUGGAAACGGGGACUAAUACCGGAUAGGUAAUCGGAAGGCAUCUUCUGAUUAUUAAAGGUUAAAAACACUGGUGGAUGGGCUUAUGGCGCAUUAGUUAGUUGGUGAGGUAACGGCCCACCAAGACGAUGAUGCGUAGCCGGCCUGAGAGGGUGAACGGCCACAUUGGGACUGAGACACGGCCCAGACUCCUACGGGAGGCAGCAGUAGGGAAUUGUCGGCAAUGGGGGAAACCCUGACCGAGCAACGCCGCGUGAGUGAUGACGGCCUUCGGGUUGUAAAGCUCUGUUGUAAGGGAAGAACGGUAGAUAGAGAAUAUCUAAAUGACGGUACCUUACCAGAAAGCCACGGCUAACUACGUG
RNAcentral lists this ribosomal RNA (485 nucleotides) under uncultured bacterium. Its description in RNAcentral is "partial 16S ribosomal RNA". It matches the Rfam family "Bacterial small subunit ribosomal RNA", at positions 29 to 507 of the family's 1533-position model. The record is from RNAcentral.